This 249-nucleotide ribosomal RNA is filed under the name Triticum aestivum (bread wheat). RNAcentral describes it as "partial small subunit ribosomal RNA". The record is from RNAcentral. Lineage: Eukaryota; Viridiplantae; Streptophyta; Magnoliopsida; Poales; Poaceae.
AUGGAAGGGAGGACGCCGCCCUUCCUCUGCUCCCUGUCCAAGCAAGCGAGCUCUGGAUCCACCCCCACAACCACGGCAUCGGCACCGGCACUGGAGGCCGUGGAGAUGCAGCUCCGUCGCGCAGUUGUCGAGCCAAGGUUCAUUGAUGACAGCCAAGGGUUCAUGCUCGAAAACGAGUACAUCUUGCUCCAUGUUGUCGGCUCAGCUAGAGUCCUUAAUCAUGAGGAGAUGGGACACGUCGAUUGUUAG